RNAcentral lists this ribosomal RNA (484 nucleotides) under uncultured bacterium. RNAcentral's name for it is "partial 16S ribosomal RNA". It matches the Rfam family "Bacterial small subunit ribosomal RNA", at positions 28 to 507 of the family's 1533-position model. The record is from RNAcentral.
AUUGAACGCUGGCGGCAUGCUUUACACAUGCAAGUCGAACGGCAGCGCGGGCUUCGGCCUGGCGGCGAGUGGCGAACGGGUGAGUAAUGCAUCGGAACGUGCCCAGUAGUGGGGGAUAGCCCGGCGAAAGCCGGAUUAAUACCGCAUACGACCUGAGGGUGAAAGCGGGGGACCGACAGGCCUCGCGCUAUUGGAGCGGCCGAGGUCGGAUUAGCUAGUUGGUGGGGUAAAGGCUUACCAAGGCGACGAUCCGUAGCUGGUCUGAGAGGACGACCAGCCACACUGGGACUGAGACACGGUCCAGACUCCUACGGGAGGCAGCAGUGGGGAAUUUUGGACAAUGGGGGCAACCCUGAUCCAGCCAUGCCGCGUGCGGGAAGAAGGCCUUCGGGUUGUAAAGCGCUUUUGUUCGGGAAGAAAUCCUCUGGGCUAAUACCCCGGGGGGAUGACGGUACCGGAAGAAUAAGCACCGGCUAACUACGUG